UCUGGUUUCUUGCUUUUUCCAUAAAAAAGCAAGUGGUGCGGAUGGGACUCUCUCCCGCCUGGUUUCCAAUUUCCAGUUAAAGAAUUGGUGGCGAGCCUGAGU
Molecule: non-coding RNA, 102 nt
Filed under: unclassified sequences
Description: wcaG RNA
Rfam family: wcaG RNA
Source: RNAcentral